RNAcentral lists this ribosomal RNA (468 nucleotides) under uncultured bacterium. RNAcentral's name for it is "partial 16S ribosomal RNA". It matches the Rfam family "Bacterial small subunit ribosomal RNA", at positions 28 to 507 of the family's 1533-position model. The record is from RNAcentral.
GACGAACGCUGGCGGUGGGCUUAACAAAUGCGAGUCGACCGGAAGGCCCCUCCUUUUUUGGGUUUCCGGGUGGCCAAAGGGGUGCGUACAAGGUAGGUACCCGGCCCUUGCUUUUGGUGAACUUUAGGGAACCGGGGCUUACACCCGGAUAGCACCUCUUCCUCAGGGGUGGGCGUGGGAACGUUUGGGCGGUUGGGGCUGGACUCGCGGCUUAUCAGCUUGUUGGGGGGGGAGUGGCUUACAAAGGCUUUGACGGGUAGCCGGCCUGAGAGGGUGACCGGCCACAUUGGGACUGAGAUACGGCCCAGACUCCUACGGGAGGCAGCAGUGUGGAAUAUUGCACAAUGGGCGGAAGCCUGAUGCAGCAACGCCGCGUGCGGGAUGACGGCCUUCGGGUUGUAAACCGCUUUCGCCUGUGACGAAGCGUGAGUGACGGUAAUGGGUAAAGAAGCACCGGCUAACUACGUG